Molecule: unclassified non-coding RNA, 367 nt
Filed under: soil metagenome
Description: partial contains 5.8S ribosomal RNA, internal transcribed spacer 2, and large subunit ribosomal RNA
Rfam family: 5.8S ribosomal RNA (bases 1-120)
Source: RNAcentral
GAUGAAGAACGUAGCGAAAUGCGAUAAGUAAUGUGAAUUGCAGAAUUCAGUGAACCAUCGAAUCUUUGAACGCACAUUGCGCCCGGCAGUAAUCUGCCGGGCAUGCCUGUCCGAGCGUCAUUUCUGCCCUCGAGCGAGUCCAGCAUCUAGGUGCUGGGCCCGCCCGGCGUUGGGGCACUACGGGAAGCCCUGUGCUGUCCCCCGUAGGCCCCGAAAUGAAGUGGCGGUCCUGCCGCGGCGCCCCCUGCGUAGUAUAACAGCUCGCUUCGGGACCCGGUGGAGGCCUGCCGUCAAACCUUACUCUCUAAGUUUGACCUCGGAUCAGGUAGGGUUACCCGCUGAACUUAAGCAUAUCAUAAGCGGAGGA